GGACCCUCUAUAGGUCCUGUCGACAUUCUUUUGCAGUCAGGAGACAGACGCGACAUCCGUACAGGUGGGUACUUCGAUCCGACGUCGGUACAGUGGUGCACGCUUGGUGACGGUUUCUUACCCUUACUCUUCUGUUGUUACUAUCGCAUAGUAUAUUGAGCCUUGCACCCUUGUUUAUUCGUUAUACUCUACUCGUUGUUUGCAUGCUUAGUAUCCUGAGUAGGAGUAGAGUAGUUCUAUCUACAUGCGUAUCUGUUGACCUAGUUGGUCUGUUGUUGCAUUCCGUAUCUGUUGACCUAGUUGGUCUGUUGUUGCAUUCCGUAUCUGUUGACCUAGUUGGUCUGUUGUUGCAUUCCGUAUCUGUUGACCUAGUUGGUCUGUUGUUGCAUUCAGUAUCUGUUGACCUAGUUGGUCGGUUGUUGCAUUCCGUAUCUGUUGACCUAGUUGGUUGGUUGUUGCAUUCCGUAUCUAUUGACCUAGUUGGUCUGUUGUUGCAU
This 497-nucleotide long non-coding RNA is filed under the name Ananas comosus (pineapple). RNAcentral's name for it is "long non-coding RNA (ACOM_LNC010359)". The record is from RNAcentral. Lineage: Eukaryota; Viridiplantae; Streptophyta; Magnoliopsida; Poales; Bromeliaceae.